Molecule: non-coding RNA, 30 nt
Filed under: Mus musculus (house mouse)
Lineage: Eukaryota; Metazoa; Chordata; Mammalia; Rodentia; Muridae
Source: RNAcentral
UCAUGUCACAUUAACCCUCUGUAUGGAUGG